UCCUCGAUGACCGAGGCAGUCUCGUGUGAAAAAUACAACACACGACAAGGGUUGCGCUCGUUGCGGGACUUAACCCAACAUUUCACAACACGAGCUGACGACGACCAUGCAUCACCUGUCAUCCCGUUCCAAAAGGCACGCUCCUCUUUCGAGGAGCUUCGGGAGAUGUCAAGCCCUGGUAAGGUUCUUCGCUUAGCUUCGAAUUAAACCACACGCUCCACCGCUUGUGCGGGUCCCCGUCAAUUCCUUUAUGUUUUAGCCUUGCGGCCGUACUCCACAGGCGGGGUACUUAACGCGUUAGCUUCGAUACCCAGGGGGUCUAUUCCCCGAAUACCUAGUACCCAUCGUUUACGGCGUGGACUAC
Molecule: unclassified non-coding RNA, 364 nt
Filed under: uncultured bacterium
Lineage: Bacteria
Description: contains 16S-23S intergenic spacer region
Source: RNAcentral